Molecule: long non-coding RNA, 2078 nt
Organism: Panthera uncia (snow leopard)
Lineage: Eukaryota; Metazoa; Chordata; Mammalia; Carnivora; Felidae
Exons: 3
Source: RefSeq, a predicted model, not a curated record
GAAAGAGGAGACAGAGAAAAUCCCAAGCAGGCUCCACGCUCAGCGCAGAGCCCGGCACAGGGCUCAUCCCGUGACUGUGAGAUCAUGACCUGAGCAGAAAUCAAGAGUCGGAGGUUUAACCGAAUGAGCCACCCAGGCACCCCCUCUUACUUUUUUUUCUUAAUCUUUCUUUCUUCCAGAACCCAGGUGAAGAAAUUAAUUUAUCUGCCCAAAGUAAUAUCACUAUCACAUGAAUAUUUGAAGGAAUGAGUGAGUGAAUCAUAAUGAGCUGAAAGAAAGCUCCAUGAAAACAGAAUGUUGCUCUUCCCUUUCACCCAGUAUCUUCGGCACCAAGAACAGGACCCGUGCAGAGUGAAUCAAGGAUAAGCAAAACAACGUGUUUAUCUGGUGCCCAUCUCCCUGGCUGAACACUCCUCUGAAAGUGACCGUUGGACUGUGCCAGAGCAGAGCUGUCCACACCAAGUGAUGCUUCAUAGCAACUCUGUCUUUGGUGAACUUACUGGCAUCCCCUUAUAUAUAAGCUGUGGCCUGAUAACCUUAAGCAUAGUUCCAUAAAGUUCCUACCCAAGGCCAUGGAGUUGACUGCUGACUAGCAAGCUGUUCUCUACUUUGUACAGGUGUCUAUUUGGGGAGGGAGAAGGUAGAAGAGCCAGUGAAGGUUUGCUUAAACUAUUCUUACAGCGAAAACACUGGCUGUCAUCACAAAAUAUUAAAAAUUAAAGUGCCAGAGACGGUUUUUAGUGGCCCUGGCUUUUACAGGUGCUAAGCUUUUGAGUAAUAGGGGAGUGUCUUUCCAGGAAACUGCAACCUUUUACCAUUGCAACAGCGGAAAACAUCUGUGGCAGGAAGAUAUUUUCUGAGCUUACUGCUACUUGAACGUAGUGAUGUUGUGUCUCCUAAAAUUCCUACCUUGCCUUAAUUGAUGAAAAAGAAGUACCAUUCAGUGAGCCUCCCCCUCCUCACUAUAUGUGUCAGAUAUUCCGCAUGUUAUUUUCAGUCUUUACAAGCACUCAUCAAAGUAUCGCUUUCCCCCAUUAUACAAAUGAUGAAACUCAAGCACAGGAGUUUGCCCAAGGUCACAGAGCUAGAGGGGCCAGAGCUGGGAUUCCAAAUCAGUUCUAACACUCAAGCCAAGACUUUUCUGGUAUGCCAUAUUCUCUGUCCAGUAGUAACAGAGCUUCUAAGACCUAAUGAGUUUUUAUUCUUUAAAACUGAAUUUUUAAAAAAUGUAAGCAGGGCACUAAGAACUCUGCAGCUUAAUAUUAAUAUUGGUGGGGCAUCUGUGUGGCUCUGUUGGUUGAGCAUCUGACUUCGGCUGAGGUCGUGAUCUCAUGGUUCGUGAGUUCAAGCCCCACACAGGGCUCUGCUCUGACAGCACCAGGCCUGCUUUGGAUUCUCUCUCUCUCCCUCUCUGCCACCUCCCUGUUCAUGGGCACGCACAUGUGCAUGUUUCUGUCUCUCUCUCUCACAAGUAAACAUUAAAAAAAUUUAAUAUUGAUAUUGAUAUAUUACUGGUCUCACAUGGACAAGAACUAAGACUAGGAGAGUAGACCAGGGCUAGAUCAGGAAGUGGCCACAAGGAAAAGAGAAACAAGAUAAAGAAGUGGUCUUACUCCCUCUUAUCAUGGGCCCCAUCAACACACUGGAGACUAGUGGUAUAUUCAAUAGCUACAUAUAAACAUUUAUUUAUUUUUGAGAAACAGAGUGUGAGCGGAUGAGGGGCAGAGAGAGAAGACGACACAGAAUCCGAAAGUAGGUUCCACGCUCUGUCAUUACAGAGCCCGAUCGAUGCGGGGCUCGAACCCACAAACCGUGAGAUCAUGACCUGAGCUGCUUAAUCAACCGAGCCACCCAGGUGCCCGUUAAAAAUGUUUAAAGAAAGGCACCCAUGUAAUAUUUAGAGUUAAUCCUAAUACAUGUAGACCAAGGUUUCUCAACCUUCACACUGUUGACAUUUUGAGUUGAAUAGUUCUUUGUGUGGGGCUCUCCCGUGCAUUGUAGGAUAGGCAGUUUUUCCAUGAGUUGAUUUUUCCCUUCAAAAUAACUAUUAAAUAACUAAGUACUAAAAUAAGCAGCAG